UACUCUGAAACCUCCAAGUACUGUAGUGCAAAUCUCUUUAUCAUGAAAGUGAAACUUACAAAUGUAGAUUUUUUUGUUACAUAACUGGACUCAAAAACAAAACAAUGUAAAACGUUAGCGCGUACAAGUCCACUCAGUCCUACUUCUUGUUCAGCCAAUCGCUCAGACAAAGAAGUUUGGUUACAGCUGCAGGAGACAAUGCUGCUUGCUUCUUGUUUACAAUGAUACCUGACAGCGAGCACGGGCAUUUGCAUGACACUGUUGUAGCCAAGGUUGCAAGAUAUUUACGUUCCAGAUGCACUAAAGAUUCACAUGUCCCUUCAUGCUUCAGCCACCGUUCCAGAGGACACGUGUCCAGGCUGAUGAUGCUCGUUAAAAAUUAAUUAAAUGUGUGCCUGCCCUCCUGGGGGAGAACGGUAUGUCGCCUGCUCUGUCAGGGCAGCUGUCACAUGGGGGGAAAAGGAGCAGCCGGGCCCUUGCUCCCUGAAACCAAAGGCUGUGCGAUGGGGGCUGGGUGACCCCACUGCUCUGGGUGGGACGGGCCCCUAGUCCCCCUUGCCCCACGUGGGACACAUGACACGGGUGGGCGGUGACCUCACUGCUCGUGGGGCUGAUCCCCCGCCCGGGGCCCGGCACGUGCGCGCGCAGGCGGCGGGCGGGAACUGGCGCGAGGGCGGGCGGGGCCCGCUGUUCCCGCCCUUCCCAGGCCGCCUGCUGGCCAAGGUAGUUCUCUCUCCGGUCGGACGGCGGGGGUCAGGCGGCGGGUUCCGGUUCCGGGUCGCGCAGCCUGUCAUGGCGGCGCCCAGCGGGCCGGGGGAAGAGGCGGCGGCGGUGGCGGCCCCUGGGAGGAGGCAGCCGUUCGGGAGCCGCUUUCUGACCGACCCGAGCCGGCUCUUCCAGCACAACGCCUGGGAUAAUGUAGAAUGGUCUGAAGAGCAGGAAGCCAGUGCAAGGAACAAAGUUCAAGAGAACAGCAGGCAGCUUGUUCCACAAGACAAACAAGAUGAAUAUGAGCUCAAUGCUAAUGAAUACUGGAAUGAUUUCUAUAAAAUCCAUGAAAAUGGCUUCUUCAAGGACAGACACUGGCUAUUCACUGAAUUUCCUGAACUGGCACCAAACCAGAACCUAAGUCAACCUGAGGCUUCUGCAUACAAAGAUGGUUGCACCAGAAAACCCAGAAACACCGGGCGGGGGAGCUGUGAAAAUGGUCUUUGUUCAUUGGAAACCAGAAUACAAGAGCAUCAUCAGUUGGACUUGAUGAAAGACAGUAGUAAUAUCAUCAACAGACUCGACACAGAUGGAGAAGGAAUACUGAAGUUGGGUGACCUGAAACUAAGUGAUGGUGACUUCCCAGGAUCCUCUGCCACUUACCGUAUACUAGAGGUUGGCUGUGGUGCUGGAAAUACGGUCUUCCCAAUUUUGCAAACCAACAAUGAUCCAGGGCUCUUUGUUUAUUGCUGUGAUUUUUCCAACACAGCUGUGGAUCUUGUCCAGACCAAUUCAGAGUAUGACUCUUCCCGCUGUUUUGCCUUCGUUCAUGACCUGUGCAAGGACCAAAGCCCAUACCCAAUGCCAGAGAAGAGUCUUGACAUCAUUAUUCUCAUCUUUGUCCUAUCAGCUAUUCUCCCAGAGAAGAUGCAGUGCGUCAUUAACGGACUGAGCCGGCUUCUGAAACCAGGAGGAAUGAUUCUGUUACGAGAUUAUGGUCGUUAUGACCUGGCGCAGCUUCGAUUUAAGAAAGGUCGAUGUCUGUCCGAUAACUUCUACGUGAGAGGCGAUGGGACCAGAGUUUACUUCUUUACGCAAGACACAGACUAACACGGCUGCUACUCUGAAAUCUACCCUAUGGCUAAUCCUAUUGCUUCAUGUUCAAAAUGCAUGAAUGGAAAAGUAUUUGGGGAGGACUCCAUGAGUGCCUACUAAGCCAAACUCAAGGAGAGGGAUAUGGCUCAGAAGGAUGGACCAUCAAAGCGCGCAGACAGAUGGACGGUUCUUCUGAAACAUGUAACAAGUGCCAUAUAUAAAGAAUAGUACUGAUGUCACAGAAGGCUCAUCAAAGAAUACAGUGAUUGCCAUUGGGGAAGAUCAAAAGGAGGCAAGAGCAAUAUUUGGAAGAGAUCAUCUGGAGAGAUGGAUGCUGCAAAAGAGAGGAUUCUGGCAGAGAAAAAGAUGGUGUAGAAGGGCUUACUUAUCCUCUUGAGUGAGGACAUGUAGUUAUUACACACAUUGAUAAAUUUCCUAUUGCUAUACUAUCCAGCCUUUACAUCAUCAAGAAAAUACAUUUAUCCAAAUUAAGGAGUAUAUAUUCUGUCUCUCUCUCACCACUCAGUUCUUGUCCACCUUCCCCCAAACCAUCAAAACCAGCUUCUUUAUAAAGACCAGAACUGGGGGACUAGCCAACCUCUACAGUUCGUUAAAAACAAAAAGUUGAGUUUUGCCUCACAUGCAGUUAGGAGCUGGAUGGGAAACGGUUUUCCUGUCCUGUAAAACCGUUUGAGAUCUCAAAACAUUUUCCCAUCCCAAAUCCAGAUGAAAAGCUGAAAUCUCAAAACUUGUUGCCAGCUGAAAAUCUGGAAAAAAAAAUCAGUUUGGGUCCAUCAGAAUAUUUUUGUUUUGAUCAUUUUGAAACAUUUCAUUUCGAUUUCAACCGUUUUUACCAUUUUUUUUUACUUUCUACUAAUUUUAGCUUAAUUCUAAACAAAAAGUCCUUUAGAACCAGAAAACUGAAAAUUUUCAUUUAAAAAAGUCAAAAGGCAACAAUUUUGACAGAUUUUUCCAAAAUAAAAUUUUUAGUUUAAGAAAUCUGUUGAAACCAGCCCUUUCCCCAAAAAAAGUUUGGUGUUGAUUAAUUGGAUUUCUGAUUUAAAAAAAAGUUUUGUUGAAAAAUUCCCCACCAGCUCUAUGCUCAGUCCAGAGCUGGCAGUUUUCCAGCAGCAGCAAAUGCCAUUGCGGAUUGCCCAUCAGUGAGAAUGUUCAGGCACCUGCUACCACAAGGUCUUACCCUAGGACCCACAGUCUUAUUAAACGUUUAUUUUACAGUAGCACCUGAAAGGCCCAAACAGGAUGGGUGGGCAGAGUGAUGUACUAAGAUACAGAGUGAAGUUGUAAGUUUCUAAGGCAGAAACUCUAACACCUAAACAGAGCAAGGAUGGAGGGUGGGGUUAUCACAUACAAGCAAAUGACCACUGGGAUGAGUAGCACACUGAUGAAGCAUUAUACUGAAGGUAAGUGCUGUGAUGAAGUGUAGAGAGAGGGUGUCUGAUAUAACUGAGAUGUAGGCUGUGUCCACAUUAGAUAAUUGUAUUCAAAAAAUUCCCAUCUGAGCUACCUACUUCAGCUGUAUGGGUGGGAAUUCUGAUGUAAAAUUCCUUAGUGUCAGAGCACUGAGGGUUUUACAGAUAGUAAUCAACAGCCUGAAUUACACUUGUAAGUGUUUCGGAGUCAGUGCAGAGCAAGAACCAUGGGUGUCGUAUGCAUUUAUCCAUCCACCCUAUCUAAAAUGUGUCAUGCCUUAUUCUGCACUAGUUUCAGAGUAGCAGCCGUGUUAGUCUGUAUUCGCAAAAAGAAAAGGAGUACUUGUGGCACCUUAGAGACUAACCAAUUUUAAAUUGGUUAGUCUCUAAGGUGCCACAAGAACUCCUUUUCAUUCUGCACUAGCUAAAGCUUCCGUGUGUCCUGCAAGAGAAGCCCCCAACUAGAGUGUGCUGCUAUGGACUAGUCUGGAGUUGGCGAAGUCAUGGAUAGCCAUGGUUUCAUCUGCAUCAGAGAAGGAAAAGAUGAAAUCUUGUGGCCAGGAAAGGAUGGUUGUGGCCCAAUUGUGCCAGGUGCUGUACAAACACACAGAAAAGGACAAUCCCUUUUCCCAAAGAGUUUCAUCUUGCUCCAGUCUAACAGACAAGACAUUAGCAGAUGAGAUGAACAGGUAAGUGGGGAUAGGGAGUGUGGGGACAUACAGUCACAAGAAUAGGAUGUGUGCAAUUCUUAGUCAAUUGGGUGGUAAUCACAGCUCACCACCUAUUCAUCUUGUCUGGCCUUGUGCAUAACACAGGCCACAGAAUUUCACUCGGUGCCUGCUCUGAGCCCAGUAGCUUGUGGUUGAUCUACAGCAUAAUCUUUUAGAAAAACAUCCAGACUGGGUUUAAAGAAUCCAACGGAUGGAGUAUGGACCACGUUCCUUGGUAAGCUGGUUCUGAACCCUGCUAGAAGAGCAGGGCAGUUGCUGGCCUCCAUGAAACAGAGAGUUGGGCCCAGAUCUGCAAAGGGACUGAGACAGUGUGAUGCUGAGCAUUGCCAUGCCUAACUUUUAGGCACCUAGAAAAUCAUAGGAACAGCCCUGCAAUCCACAGAGCCUGAGUUAGGUGCCCAGACUCCUAUACAGUGAAAGGGGAGAGAGAGGCAUCUUAGCCCUGGUCUACACUAUGAGUUUAGGUUGAAUUUAGCACCGUUAGGUCGAUUUAACCCUGCACCCGUCCACACGACCAAGCCUGUUUUGUAAAAUCAAUUUCUGUACUCCUCCCCGGUGAGGGGAGUUGAGCUAAAAUCGACCUUGCUGGGUCGAAUUUGGGGUAGUGUGGAUGCAAUUAGACGGUAUUGGCCUCCGGGAGCUAUCCCAGAGUGCUCCAUUAUGACCACUCUGGACAGCACUCUCAACUCAGAUGCACUGGCCAGGUAGACAGGAAAAGCCCCGGGAACUUUUGAAUUUCAUUUCCUGUUUGGCCAGCGUGGCGAGCUGAUCAGCACAGGUGAUCAUGCAGAGCUCAUCAGCACAGGUGCCCAUGGAGUCCCAGAAUCACGAAAGAGGUCCAGCAUGGACCGAAAGGGAGAUACUGGAUCUGAUCGCUGUAUGGGGAGAAGAAUCUGUGCAGGCAGAACUCUGUUCCAAAAGAGAAAAUGCCAAUAUAUUUGCCAAAAUCUCCAAGGGCAUGAUGGACACAGGCUACAACAGGGACACACAGCAGUGCCGCAUGAAAGUUAAGGAGCUGAGGCAAGCCUACCAAAAAAUAAAGGAUGCAGACGGUUGCUCCAGGUCAGAGCCUCAUACAUGCCGCUUCUAUGAUAAGCACCCCUACCACUACCCCAUCACUGUCCGUGGACACCUGCAAGGGGGAGUCUCAUGCAACAGGGAUGAGGAUUUUGUGGAUGAGGAGGAGGAGGUUGAGGAUAGCACACAGCAGACAAGCCGAGAAUCCCUUCUACCCGGCAGCCAGGAACUGUUCAUCACCCUGGAGCCAAUACCCUCCUAACCCUCCCAAGGCGGGCUCCCGGACCAUGAAGCCAGAGAAGGGACCUCUGCUCCAAAUGUUUCUACGCUCCCCCAUCAUCUCCGUCCCAGAGGCUAGCGCAGAUUAGAAGGCGAAAAAAACGCACUCGUGAUGAAAUGUUCUCAGAGCUCAUGCAGUCCUCCCGCACUGAAAGAGCUCAGCAGAAUGCA
RNA transcript from Caretta caretta (loggerhead turtle), 5431 nucleotides. It is a transcript of the gene named methyltransferase 2A, tRNA N3-cytidine, with no coding region annotated. Lineage: Eukaryota; Metazoa; Chordata; Testudines; Cheloniidae. The record is from RefSeq and is a predicted model, not a curated record.